Molecule: transfer RNA, 87 nt
Filed under: Candidatus Eiseniibacteriota bacterium
Lineage: Bacteria; Candidatus Eiseniibacteriota
Also listed under: 5 other names
Description: tRNA-Leu
Rfam family: tRNA
About the family: Transfer RNA (tRNA) molecules are approximately 80 nucleotides in length. Their secondary structure includes four short double-helical elements and three loops (D, anti-codon, and T loops).
Source: RNAcentral
GCGGAAGUGGCGGAACUGGCAGACGCACUAGAUUCAGGUUCUAGCGCCCGAAAGGGUGUGGGGGUUCAAAUCCCCCCUUCCGCACCA